This 72-nucleotide transfer RNA is filed under the name Firmicutes bacterium CAG:238. It matches the Rfam family "tRNA". From Rfam's summary of the family: Transfer RNA (tRNA) molecules are approximately 80 nucleotides in length. Lineage: Bacteria; Bacillati; Bacillota. The record is from Rfam by way of RNAcentral.
GGCUCCUUAGCUCAACGGAUAGAGUAGUGCUCUCCGAAGGCAUUGAUCGGGGUUCGAUUCCCCGAGGAGUCA